RNAcentral lists this small RNA (127 nucleotides) under Marmota monax (woodchuck). Lineage: Eukaryota; Metazoa; Chordata; Mammalia; Rodentia; Sciuridae. The record is from RNAcentral.
GCUGGGCGCAGUGGCGUAUGCCUGUUAUCCAAGUGGCUCAGGAGGCUGAGGCAGGAGGAUUGCAAAUCCAAAGCCAGCCUCAGCAACUUAGUGAGGCUCUAAGCAAGUUAGUGAGACCCUGUCUCAA